RNAcentral lists this long non-coding RNA (7579 nucleotides) under Medicago truncatula (barrel medic). RNAcentral's name for it is "long non-coding RNA (MTRU_LNC005808)". The record is from RNAcentral. Lineage: Eukaryota; Viridiplantae; Streptophyta; Magnoliopsida; Fabales; Fabaceae.
GGCACCCCCCCACCAACAAAAUCUCCAUCAACUACUCCAUCAGCUCCUUCAGAGACAAAUUCAACUACUCCAUCACCACCAAAGGAUAAUGGAGCUUUUAGUGUUUCCAAUGGUGUUAGUCUUUUGAUGGGUUCUUUCUUUGUUUCAGCAAUGAUUUUGGGUUUGAUGGGCUAGGGAAGAGACAGUGCUAUUGUUAAUCAUCUUAAUUUAUGUACUAUUGGUUUGUUGAAUUUGCUUAAAUUUUAUUUAAUGAUCUGAGAUGUAUAUCUAAUCUUCAUCUUGAUGUGUAUGAGCUUUUAAUUAAAAAAGAGAUCAAAACUGCUUUAGAAAUCAAACAUUCUCUUAUAUGUGGGCCAUUUGAGGUACCUACUAUAUAGGAGGGAGCAGAUACUUCAUCACUUUUGUAGAUGAGCAUACUAAAAUGCUGUGGAUUUAAACAAUCAAAAUUAAAAGUGAAGCUCUUUAGAAGUAUUCAACAAAUUCAAAGUCGUAGUUGAGAAAGAGAGUGAAAAAUCAAUUAAAAUUUUGAGAACUGAUGGUGGCAAGGAGUAUACCUCAUCAAAGGAUUUUGAAGAAUUUUUUGCUAGAGAAGGUAUAACUCAUGAAAUCAUCUCUCCCUCUCCUCCCCAACACAAUGGCUUAGUAGAAAGGAGGAAUAGAAUCAUACUAGAUAUGUCAAGAAGCAUGCUCAAGCAAAAUAACAUGCCUCACAAGUUUUGGGGAUAAGCAGUGAAUAUUGUUGCUUAUAUUCUGAACAACUGCCUAACAAAAAGCUGAAAAACAAAGUAUCAGAAUAAGCUUGGAAUGGAAGAAAGCCAAAUGUGAAGCAUUUGAAAGUAUUUGGCUCAAUCUGUCUGUUACAAACACAUUCCUGAUGCAAAGAGAAGCAAACUUGAUGAUAGAAGUGAGAAAAUGGUACUUAUAAGCUAUCAUUCAACUAGAGCAUACAAACUGUAUGAUCCAAAAUCUCAAAAGGUGCAAACAAGUAGAGAUGCGAUAAUGAAUGAAAAAUGAAGCAUAACACUGGGAAAACAUAUCUGAAAUCAGAAAUGUGAAUUCACGUAUAUUCACUGAAUCAGAUCAAAGUGAAGAUUUAGAUGAAGAUAUUGAAGAUACAAAUAAUGUAAUUGAGAAUGAAGAAGAAGCUCAACCUAGACAAGUUCCCAUUAGACUUGAAGACUGUGAGGUGCUACCUGAUAGUGUAGUGAAUGAUGAACGAGAGUUCAUUCACUUUGCAUUUCUACCUCAUGCUGAACCACUUAAUUACAAAGAAGCAAUGCAAAUAGGUGUAUGGAGAAAAGGUAUGAUACAAGAAAUCAAAGCUAUUGAGAAGAAUAACACCCGUGAAUUAGUUGAAUUAUCAGAGAAGAAGAAAACCAUUGAUGUGAAAUGAAUUUUCAAGGUAAAAAUGAAUCCAGAUGGCACAGUUUCAAAACACAAAGCAAGGCUAGUGGCUAGAGGCUUCCUGCAGCGAUAUGGUGUUGAUUAUAAUGAAGUGUUUGCACUAGUGGCAAGAUUAGAAAAUGGGAGAUUGGUUGUUGCAUUAGAUAGCAGUAAGAAAUGAUCAUUGUUUCAUUUAGAUGUGAAGUCUUGAUUCUUAAAUGGACUAUUAGAAGAAAAAGAUGCAUAUGGUAUACGAACUGCAUAAGACACUUUAUGGAUUGAAGCAGGCUCCUAGAGAAUGGAACAAAUGAAUUGAUCAGUUCUUGAUUUAAAUUGGAUUUAAAAGAUGCAAAGUUGAAUAUGGUAUGUAUGUUCAGAACUUGAGUGAAAGUGAUAUCACAAUGAUAUAAUUAUAUGUGAAUGAGCUAUUGGUAACUGGAAGUAAUCAAAGUGAGAUUGAGAAGUUCAAACACACAAUGUAGUGUGAAUUUGAAAUGACUGAUUUAGGAAAACUCUCUUAUUUCUUAGGAAUGGAGUUUAAAGCUAGCAAGAUGGGAAAGGUUAUGCAUCAUCAGAAGUACAUUGGUGAACUGCUAGAAAAGUUUGAUAUGACAGAUUGCAACACUGUCACAAAUCCUUCUGAAACAAAUGCUAAGCUGGAUGAAUGUAGCAAUGAAGAGAAAGUAGAAGCUACAUAAUUCAAACCGAUAGUUGGAUCUCUGAGAUGCCUAUGCAAUAACAGACCUGAUAUAUGCUUUGCGGUAAGUAUCAUCAGUAGAUACAUGAAUGAUCCUAGGAAAUCUCAUCUCACUGCAGCUAAAAGAGUGCUAAGAUAUGUGAAAGGAACAAUGAAGUUUGACUUGCUAUUUCAAACUGAAAACAAUGGAGAAAAGGUUGAACUGAUAGGCUACUCUGAUUCAGAUUGGUGUGAAGAUAGAAGUGAUAGGAGAAGCACAUCUGGCUAUGUCUUCAAGUUCAACAAUGUUGCAAUAUCAUGGUGUACAAAGAAGCAUCCAACUACUGUAUCAUCAUCUUGUGAAGUUGAGUACAUAGCAGGUACAUUUGCAGCUUGUCAAGCAAUUUGGCUGGAUACAGUGAUGAAAGAGCUAAACUGUGAAGUAGAAAAUCCUUUGAAGCUGAAAUUUAAUAACAAAUAAGCUAUUAAUCUAGCUAAGAAUCCUAUAGCACAUGGAAGAAGUAAACACGUUGAAACUAGGUUAUAUUUCAUCAUGGAACAAGUGACAAAGGGCAUGAAUGAAGUGAUAUAUCACCCAACUAAAGCGCAGCUAGUUGAUGGAUUCACCAAGUCUUCGAAGCUUGACAAAUUUGUUUACUUGAGGGAUAAGCUAGGUCUCAUUGAUUGUUAGGAUUAUGGAUUAAAGGGGGUGUAUUAGAUGUGAUUAAUCCAUAAUCAUUUAGCAGAGUUAGUUUUAUAAUUAGCUUUACUUUGGAUAAGUUUAUUAGUUAGUUUGUAAAUCUCUUUUCAUUAAUUAAUGAAAACCAUAACAAACUUCAAACACUUUCUUCUCUCUCCAUAACCACUUUCUCAUUCUCCAUUUUUCUCAUUCUCUCAAUAUUCAUCCAUUAUUAAGAUUACUUGAAUAGCAAGAAAGCAAUAUCUGCGCUAAUAUGCAUUGCAAUCCAACUCAUGAAAACAUUUUGUAGCAAAAGAAAUAAUACUACACUACCCUGCCAUGAUGUAAAGUAUUUGAGCAUUUGGUGGUAGUGGCGGAGCCCUUCAUGGGCUGGGGUGGGCCACGGCCCAACAAAAAAAAUUAAAAAAUAAACGAUUAUAGAUCUAUUUUGCGAGAUUUUAUGCAAUUUUGUAUCGGUUUUAUGUUUUGGUUGAUUCAAAUUCCUAAAAAGUAGUGUAGUGGACCACCCAAAAAUUUAAAUAAUUCAAUUAUAGGUCUAAUUUGCGAGAUUUUAUACAAUUUUAUGUCGGUUUUAGGUUUCGGUUGAUCCAAAUUCCCGCAAAUUGGUGUAGUGGCCCAUCCGAAAAAUUUAAAUAAUUCAAUUAUAGAUCUAAUUUGCGAGACUUUAAACAAUUUUUCAAUAGUUAAUUUUAGUGGCCCACCUUAACAUUUUUUUCUAGCUCCGCAACUGUUUGGUGGCAAUGACUACUAAUUGGAUUAAUUCCAAAUGUGUGACACAACAUGUAGGAUAGUGCAUGUGAUAUAUUUAGGUAUGCAGUCAUAAGUUAAUUAGAAGCACAUGUUCGAUAGUUUUUUUGGGGGAUCUAGAUGAUCGAAAAACAAUGAACACUUUAUGGUCUCUUGAUCUCAUUUUGAUUAUAAGGCGCUUGCCGUAGCAAAAAGAAGGAAACAUAAGAAAUGUAGAAAUGAUUGAGGAACACAAAAACAAACACUUUAUUUUCAUAUAGCUUUGAUAUCUUUUACGUUUUUUAAAUGUUUUUAGCUCGACCUCAAUUUUCAUUUUGAUCAAUUGAGGUGGAAAAAAAAAGAUAGAACAUAAGAUGAUAUUGACUUUGUCUCGAUGAAUAUUUUAAAUUAUCAAUUUUUUUUAAUGAUUUUUGCUGAUAAAUAAUCAAAGAUAUUAAAUGUCAAAAUUAUAUGUUGACAUAUGCGAAACAAUUAAUUAGAUCAGUCAUUUUAAAAAAUAGGAGUACAUGACAAACUCAAGUAAAAAAUUGAUAGAAAUGAUCGUUUGAAUUGGCUUAUUUUAAAGCUUAUGCAAAUAAAUAAGCAUUAAUGUAUCAUUUAAAAGUUUGUUAAGGUAGUUUAUCUAAAAACAACUUCUAAAUAUACAAUUUUCGUUAGUAGGAUAUUAUAAAUUAACAUUAAAACUUAAUUAUUUGUAUAAGCUCGAAAUAAGCUCAAUCCAAAAACAUAUAGCGAACAUAUUUAGGAACAAAAAUGUCUCAAGGAUGAAAAGAGACCAUAACAAAUGAAAAAUUUGAGAACAAAAGUGAAAUAUGAAAAUAAAAAAAUAAAAAAAAUCAAACGUUUAAUUUAAUUUUUAUAAAAUAUAUUUCAUAAUCCAAUAAAAAAAAAAAUCAUGAUCUUCUAGAAGCCUUCCACACGCAAGAUGAUAGUAAUAAUUUGCAGCACACUUCAACUGACUAUUCUUGCCUCUGUUUGACUCUGUUUUGGUCAUUACAUACAUGCCACAUCAUUUGUUUCUUUCAAAAGAUUACCUAAUCUAUUCAACGUUGAGGCUUUGGAACAAAGAAAAAGUGGCCAACCUUUGUGACAUGGAUGUGAGAUAAGAAUAAAAAAUAAAAAUGAUAAUUCAUUUGUUUUUUUUUGUUUUUUCCUAGUUAGUUAUUCCCUUCUCCAGAAACAAACAUUCGAAUAAAUUAAAUAAUUGACUUCAUAAUUGAAACUCCCUUAAAGUCUUCAACUACUCUCAUUACAUUGUUAAAGAAGUUAUUUUUUGACAAACUUACGGAAGGGUUGGACAAUUUGACUUAACACAAAAUACUCUAUCAAAAAAUUACCAGCAUUUGUAUAUUUUUAUUUUAAUACAGACACGUCUUAAAUAUGAUUAACUCUAGCGAUAAGAAUCUUUGAGGAAAAAAAUAUGAUUGAUAAGUCAUUUAAAGAUGGAGUUCAAAAUAACUAUUUAUGGGUUGAGAUAACAAGAGCCAACCUUUUAUCAAUAUUUUAUUGAACAAUAAUUUCUAACAACAAAAACAAUUAUUUUUUUUGUUAACAACAAAAAUAAUACCCUCUCAGUCCUAUAACAAGUGAACCUUGUAUUAAAAAAAAUAUUUUUUAAAUAAAUGAUCUAUUUCACUUUUCAAUGCAAUAUUAAUAACUUUUUUUUUCUUCAAUUAUAACUCUAAUUAAUAUUAAUUUCAUCACCCUCAAUUUCAUGUUUUUCAUUUUACAUUUAUGAUAAUGGUGAAUGUGCUGAUACUUGAUAAGAACACUUAAAAUAAUUUUUCUAUCUCUUUCACUUGUACAUUUUUUUUUUUAUAUGUGCGAAAUAAAUAAAAGAUUCAUUUAAUUUAUGAUAGAAAUAGUAAACAUUAGGUUAGAAGUAUACAUAAUACUUAUAUAAUAUAGUCACUUUCUAAUUUAUUUUUCAACGUAAUGAGUAUCAGAUAAUUUUGAUAUUUAUUCUAGAGUUUUGUUAUAAAGUGUCAUCGUGAAUUUAACUCUGUUGAUAGAAACAAUGUAUAAUAUUUAAAAUGUUCGGGGUUCUAACCCUAACCAUAAAAUAAAAAAAGUCUUGUUAUCAAGUGUCAAUUUUAAGGAACCCAUGGAUAAUAAGUUUUGGUCUGCAGUUUCGGUGGAUGUGGGUGAAGCUUUAGGGGUGCACUCUGCUUUGCAAUGGUUGAGUGAUAUGCAGUUUGACAAUAUGAAUUUUGAAACAGACUCUAAGUUGACAGCUGACGCCUUCCUUUCUACCAGGAACGACUUGUCCGAAUUUGGUUGCAUUAUUUCCUCCUGUCGUUCUUUAUUCUGUACUUCAUUUUCUAACUCUAGGGUGGAGUUUGUUAGGCGACAAGCCAACGUGGUUGCUCAUGCUCUUGCUAAAGAGAUCACGUCUUUAGCUAAUCGAAUCGUUUAUUUUAAUAUAUUCAAUUAUAUUGAAACUUUUAUUAUUAAUGAAAUGCUACAAAUAUGUUUUUCUUAAAAAAAUAAAAUAAAAUAAAGUUUUAGUCCGCAUUGGUUAACUUUUUUUUUUUCCGCGUACGUUGUGUGUAAUCAUAUCAUAGUAUAUAAAUACCACACGUGCUUCCUGGUAAAUGUGUAAUAUACAACUUGUCGAUUUGUUAAAUGUCUAUUAGCUUACCAAGUCACAUUUUUUUAUGGGAAAAGAAUCUCAAUGCAUUAGGUAGAAGCUGCCUUUAGAAAUUAGAAGACAAUAUCAAAUUGUCAAUAACCACUUCAUUAUUAUUUUUUCUUUCUCUUUUUUGGGUGCAUAACUACUCUCAUAUUAUUUAAAUUUAAUUUCAAUAUGGAGUAGUUGAUGACAUUGACAUAGUAAACACAGGAAUAUUUAGUACUAUAUAUAUACACCCCUCCUUCCAUAACCUCAUCCAUCAUUGGCACAAGUUCUAAUUCUAAUAUACUUAGAAACAUUUUCUUACAAACACUUUCUUUCUUACAAACAUUUUCAUUUUGAGAACUAAAGUUUAUAGGCAUGAAUACAUCAAUGAUAGCUUCUUUCUUUGUUCUUUUGUUGGCCUUUCCUUAUGCAUUUGCAACUGAUUUCACCGUUGGUGAUGCCAAUGGAUGGAAUCUAGGAGUUGAUUACACCAAAUGGGCUUCUGGAAAAACUUUCAAAGUUGGUGAUAACUUAGGUAUGUAUACAUUCUGGCGGCGCGCAGCUUGUUGUCUGCUUGCCUUCUAUUCAAGUGUAAAUAAUUGUUUAUAUAUUGAAAUAUGAAUAUUAUGUUUUUUCUUAUUUGGAAAAAAUGAAAAAGAUUGAUAUUGCUAAAUUUGAGGUCUAAAAUACUAUUACAUCAUGAAAUCUUAAUUAUAGAAAUAAUAUAAAUGUAUUUUGCAAUCUACAUUAGAGUUAACAAAUUAUUUUGUAUCUUGAAAAAACAGUGUUCAAAUAUGGCUCCUCCCACCAAGUGGAUGAAGUUGAUGAAAGUGACUACAAAAGCUGCACUUCAAGCAAUGCCAUAAAGAACUAUGCUGGUGGAAAUUCUAAGGUUCCAUUGACUAAAGCAGGAAAAAUUUACUUCAUAUGCCCUACUCUAGGUCAUUGUACUAGUACUGGUGGCAUGAAGCUUGAAGUAAAUGUUGUUGCUGCUAGCACCACCCCAACUCCAAGUGGCACCCCCCCACCAACAAAAUCUCCAUCAACCACACCAUCAACUACUCCAUCCACUACUCCAUCAACCACACCAUCAGCUCCUUCAGAGACAAACUCAACUACUCCAUCACCACCAAAGGAUAAUGGAGCUGUUGGUGUUUCCAAUGGUGUUAGUCUUUUGAUUGGUUCUUUCUUUGUUUCAGCAAUGAUUUUGGGUUUGAUGGGCUAGGGAAGAGACAGUGCUAUUGUUAAUCACCAUAAUUUAUGUACUAUUGGUUUGUUGAAUUUGCUUGAAUUUCAUUUCAUCUUGAUGUGUAUGAGCCUUUAAUUAAAAAAGAAAACAUUUCUUCUUUUAUAGGCAUAAUAAUUCCUUCCUUUUGUUGUUUGGUUGUCAAUAAUUGAAAUGGAAACAACUAUAUAUUCACUCAAAUAAGAAUUUACUAGGAAAAAUGUUCUAUUU